GACUUGUGUGUGUUGCUGUUCAGCGGUCUGCAUUCAAAAGAGUGUUACGACAUGCGGCAGUGGCGCCGUAAAAUCUUCAACUGGAUCGCAACUGGACUUAAUUGCCUGGUUGCAGUCAUUCGGUUGAUCGUUUACUGUGAGAAAAUUAGAGUGUUCAAGGCAGGCAUUAUUGCAAUUGAAUAUGUUAGCAUGGAAUAAUAAGAUAAGGCUUUCGCGUUUAUUUUGUUGGUGUUCUGGAGCUGAAGUAAUGAUUGAUAGGGAUAGUUGGGGGUGCUAGUAUUCAAUGGCCAGAGGUGAAAUUCUCGGAUUCCUUGAAGACUAACUUAUGCGAAAGCAUU
This 338-nucleotide ribosomal RNA is filed under the name uncultured Spongospora. RNAcentral's name for it is "SSU rRNA". It matches the Rfam family "Eukaryotic small subunit ribosomal RNA", at positions 611 to 955 of the family's 1831-position model. Lineage: Eukaryota; Endomyxa; Phytomyxea; Plasmodiophorida; Plasmodiophoridae. The record is from RNAcentral.